AGUGAACGCUGGCGGUAGGCCUAACACAUGCAAGUCGAACGGCAGCACAGUAAGAGCUUGCUCUUACGGGUGGCGAGUGGCGGACGGGUGAGGAAUACAUCGGAAUCUACUUUUUCGUGGGGGAUAACGUAGGGAAACUUACGCUAAUACCGCAUACGACCUACGGGUGAAAGCAGGGGAUCUUCGGACCUUGCGCGAUUGAAUGAGCCGAUGACGGAUUGGCUAGUUGGCGGGGUAAAGGCCCACCAAGGCGACGAUCCGUAGCUGGUCUGAGAGGAUGAUCAGCGACACUGGAACUGAGACACGGUCCAGACUCCUACGGGAGGCAGCAGUGGGGAAUAUUGGACAAUGGGCGCAAGCCUGAUCCAGCCAUACCGCGUGGGUGAAGAAGGCCUUCGGGUUGUAAAGCCCUUUUGUUGGGAAAGAAAAGCAGCAGGUUAAUACCCCGCUGUUCUGACGGUACCCAAAGAAUAAGCACCGGCUAACUUCGUG
RNAcentral lists this ribosomal RNA (492 nucleotides) under uncultured bacterium. Its description in RNAcentral is "partial 16S ribosomal RNA". It matches the Rfam family "Bacterial small subunit ribosomal RNA", at positions 29 to 507 of the family's 1533-position model. The record is from RNAcentral.